This 509-nucleotide ribosomal RNA is filed under the name uncultured organism. RNAcentral describes it as "bacterial SSU rRNA". It matches the Rfam family "Bacterial small subunit ribosomal RNA", at positions 940 to 1455 of the family's 1533-position model. The record is from RNAcentral.
UGUGGUUUAACUCGAUGCUACACGAAGUAACCUUACCUGGGUUUGACAUCUAGUUGGUAGUGAAGCGUAAGCGGAGCGACCCUUCGGGGAGCCUAGACAGGUGCUGCAUGGCUGUCGUCAGCUCGUGCCGUGAGGUGUCGGGUUAAGUCCCGUAACGAGCGCAACCCUUGCCCUCCGUUAUACGUGUCAGAGGGGACUGCCGUCGGUAAGCCGGAGGAAGGUGGGGAUGACGUCAAGUCAGCAUGGCCUUUAUAUCCAGGGCUACACACACGCUACAAUGGCCAGUACAAAGGGGCAGCGAAGCCGCGAGGUGGAGCGAAUCCCAGCAAAGCUGGUCGUAGUUCGGAUUGCAGGCUGCAACCCGCCUGCAUGAAGCUGGAGUUGCUAGUAACCGCGCGUCAGCCAUAGUGCGGUGAAUACGUUCCCNGGGGUUUGUACACACCGCCCGUCACGUCAUGGGAGUCGAUAACGCCUGAAGCCGGUGGCCUAGCUCGGAAGAGAGGGCGCUG